Molecule: ribosomal RNA, 267 nt
Filed under: uncultured bacterium
Lineage: Bacteria
Description: partial 16S ribosomal RNA
Rfam family: Bacterial small subunit ribosomal RNA
Source: RNAcentral
GAUCCUGGCUCAGGAUGAACGCUGGCGGCGCGCCUAACACAUGCAAGUCGAACGGCACCUGCCCUCGGGCAGAAGCGAGUGGCGAACGGCUGAGUAACACGUGGAGAACCUGCCCCCUCCCCCGGGAUAGCCGCCCGAAAGGACGGGUAAUACCGGAUACCCCCGGGGUGCCGCAUGGCACCCCGGCUAAAGCCCCGACGGGAGGGGAUGGCUCCGCGGCCCAUCAGGUAGACGGCGGGGUGACGGCCCACCGUGCCGACAACGGGU